GAGUGUGGGGUCCACUUCCGGCUGGGGGCGCGGCUCAGGCUCGGGGCCUGAGGAGACGGGUUCUUGGCGUGCGGCGCGCGGGGUGCCCCGUCCCCCGCAAAGCGCGUCCGGUUCCGCGUGUGGGAGCCCCACCCUCGGGCUUGCGCGUCCCGGGGCUGCCCGAGGAGCCUACACGGAGCCUCGCUAGCGAGCGGCCGCCGCGGUUCAUAACGUUCUGUGCUUGUAAAACAGCAUUGUGGAUACUGGAGAGAGCCACCCACAACUUAGACAGUAAAACCUUGAUUAACCGGAACUCAGCUAACCGGUAUUUUUGUGAGGGUGGAAGGAAGCUGCAGGCGGAAGGCAGGGAGAGCUGCCCCCAACCACCAAGAAGCCUUGAAGUUCAAAGCAAAGUUCUGUGAUUGGUUGCUUCAUCGACUGAGAAGAUCUGCCUCCCCAAGUCAGAGAAGCUCUGCAUGUGGUCUGGGAACUGAACAAGUUGCUAAAAAAGUGGAUUUCUGUGAGCACUUGAGUGCAGAAGACGGGGGAAGCUGAGGCAAACGGGUGGGGGUCUUGGGCAGUGGGAGGAGAAGGAAGGAAAACUGGUGGGAAAUGGGAAUAAGGACAGGGCAAGAAGGGAAGACCAAGUGUUGGUGAAGUGGAGAGGUAGCCAGGAACCUUGGGAGAAAGGAGUGUGGGUGGAAGCUGUGAGAGGAAAAUUAAAAGGAAGGAGAGGAAAACCUCAAGCAAAUUGAAAGAGAGAGGGGGGCAGUGAGGUGAGAGGAGAAAAGCCAAAUCAAUACUGUGUGCAAGGAGAGCAUACACCUCUAUUCCUCUGUAAGUCACAGUG
This 829-nucleotide long non-coding RNA is filed under the name Phascolarctos cinereus (koala). RNAcentral describes it as "lncRNA (ENSPCIG00000034990.1)". The record is from RNAcentral. Lineage: Eukaryota; Metazoa; Chordata; Mammalia; Diprotodontia; Phascolarctidae.